UCAAUUCUAUAGUUUAGGUAACACCAGUGAUUUAAGUAAGAAGGUAAUGUCAUCUAAAACAAUAAUCUGUUUCCAUUAUGUGGAACUGUGUCGAAAAUUAAAGUAGAUCCAAGUAAAUGUUUUUAGUUCCGAAUAUUGAGCUGAUAAGCCAGCACCAACUUUUUGAAGGACCUAGCAGAUUUGUUAAACAACAGGUUUCAUAUUUUGUCUAGUUGAUGUCACAGGGACAGUCAGUACAGAACAUAUGCCAAUGCAACAGGUCAAAAUGCUAAGAUUAUAAGAAAGGGGUUCUGAGAUUGUUUACUUUAGAAGGGCCUAUUCCUCUUAACGGGACAGUGUAUCAUCUGAAGUAUGAUUCUGUAUACGCAUGGUUUUAUCAAGACUUCCUGCCCAAAGUAAGUAAGCUCGAUUAAGAUUAAGAAUUUUUAGGACUGACUAAGAUUACUAAUGAUUCUGUAUCUCUCCCUUUGAAAGGCUUCUUGAGGCAGGUGCCUUAGUAUAGCAGUUAUUGAGACUGUGUACUGUACAGUAUAAAGUUACCCGGUUCCGGCUGUUAAAGGAUCUCCCAAAUUAAGAAGCAUGAAUCACGAUGUGAGUCAUGUGUCUAAAGAGGGAAUUACCAGUCCCCUGGGGACCUUUGGUUAUGGCGAAGGUGACCACAGAUGGUGUCUAGAUGCAUGGAAGGGAUAAUUCAUCCGAGAACAGUGUGAGCCUCACCCCCUCUAACCGGCUGAAUUAAUGAGUUCAAUAGCGUUCACUAUGGCCCUGUCCUUCCUGAGUCCGAGCCAGCAACCUGUGCACAGCGUCCAGUCGAAGCUAUCAACUGCCUUUCAUCUCAGGAGUGCGGCAUGUGUCCACGUGGAGUGAGCAUGGAGAGAGAUCCCAUCCAAACUUCUCAUGCUGCUGGUGUACUGGUUGGAUUAAGGACAAGAUAUAAUGGACCGUAAAGGAUCAUGGUGGCUCAGGUGAGAGAAAUCGGGACAUUAUCAAGGGCCAUCCACUUUGAACAUGAGCAUUGGACAAACUGAAACACUAUCUGAAGAAGAAAUGCCAGAAUGAGUGCCGGGAAGGAGGGGGUGGUCAACCGUGCCCGUAAUUGAUUUAGGCUUGUGCAAAAUUGUUUAUUUGGGGUAUCAGGUUGAUCUGUCAUUAACAUGCCACUCAUGACAAAAGCUCCAGCUGAAAUGUCAUUGCCAGAAUCCAUUAAUGAAAUUGUGUAAUGAAGCAUAUGUGUAGCUGUAUGAAGCGAACGUCUUAAGUUAAAACAUUCUACUGCAAUGGUUUUACAAGUAAGGGCUAUGGAAAGAGGAUCAGUUUCUCGUUGGAUUGUACAACCCAGAAUGAAGGGUUUGAAAGUCUUUGGUUUCAUGCAUUGAUUUUGUUUACUUAUGAUAGAACCUCCUUUGAUUGUUUAAGCAAUAAUCAAAUUAAUACAAUUUAACCUUUUCACACAUACGUGAUCAUUCUACAGUGGUCCCUGUAGUGUACGAUCAAACCGGUGUGAURAGAA
Molecule: long non-coding RNA, 1510 nt
Organism: Salvelinus sp. IW2-2015
Lineage: Eukaryota; Metazoa; Chordata; Actinopteri; Salmoniformes; Salmonidae
Source: RefSeq, a predicted model, not a curated record